This 502-nucleotide ribosomal RNA is filed under the name uncultured bacterium. Its description in RNAcentral is "bacterial LSU rRNA". It matches the Rfam family "Bacterial large subunit ribosomal RNA", at positions 962 to 1473 of the family's 2925-position model. The record is from RNAcentral.
GCCGCGUAAUCGAUUAUCGGGAGUCAGACUGCACGAGAUAAGUUGGGCGGUCAAAAGGGAAAGAGCCCAGACCUUACAGUUAAGGUCCCCAAGUGCGCGUUAAGUGGAAAAGGAUGUGGGAUUUCGAAGACAACCAGGAUGUUGGGCUCAGAAGCAGCCAUCCAUUCAAAGAGUGCGUAAUAGCUCACUGGUCGAGAGGUCCUGCGCCGAAAAUGUCCGGGGCUGAAAACGCGCCACCGAAACUAAGGAACCGAAAGGUUGGUAGAGGAGCAUUGCAUGCGGAACGAAGCAGUACCGUAAGGAGCUGUGGACUGCAUGGAAGAGAGAAUGCCGGAAUGAGUAGCGAGAAUAAGGUGAGAAUCCUUAUGGCCGAAUAUCCAAGGUUUCCAGAGUAAAGCUGAUCUGCUCUGGGUAAGUCGGGGCCUAAGGCGAGGACGAGAGUCGUAGCCGAUGGACAACAGGUGGAGAUUCCUGUACUGCGGUAUGACAGAACUGUGGGGAC